This is an unclassified non-coding RNA of Aotus nancymaae (Ma's night monkey), 102 nucleotides long. It matches the Rfam family "Y RNA". From Rfam's summary of the family: Y RNAs are components of the Ro ribonucleoprotein particle (Ro RNP), in association with Ro60 and La proteins. The Y RNAs and Ro60 and La proteins are well conserved, but the function of the Ro RNP is not known. In humans the RNA component can be one of four small RNAs -- hY1, hY3, hY4 and hY5. Lineage: Eukaryota; Metazoa; Chordata; Mammalia; Primates; Aotidae. The record is from Ensembl.
GGCUGGUCUGAGUGUAGUGGUGUUUACAACUAAUUGAUCACAACCAGUUAUGGAUGUCUUUCUUUCUUACUCACUCCCACUAUUUCACUUGACUAGCCUCAA